GAGUUUGAUCGUGGCUCAGGAUGAACGCUGGCGGCGUGCUUAACACAUGCAAGUCGAACGGAGUGCUCAUGACGGAGGAUUCGUCCAACGGAUUGAGUUACUUAGUGGCGGACGGGUGAGUAACGCGUGAGGAACCUGCCUCGGAGUGGGGAAUAACAGCCCGAAAGGGUUGCUAAUACCGCAUGAUGCAGUUGGGCCGCAUGGCUCUGACUGCCAAAGAUUUAUCGCUCUGAGAUGGCCUCGCGUCUGAUUAGCUAGUUGGCGGGUAACGGCCCACCAAGGCGACGAUCAGUAGCCGGACUGAGAGGUUGACCGGCCACAUUGGGACUGAGACACGGCCCAGACUCC
This 348-nucleotide ribosomal RNA is filed under the name uncultured bacterium. RNAcentral's name for it is "bacterial SSU rRNA". It matches the Rfam family "Bacterial small subunit ribosomal RNA", at positions 9 to 339 of the family's 1533-position model. The record is from RNAcentral.